RNAcentral lists this ribosomal RNA (2924 nucleotides) under Escherichia coli. RNAcentral describes it as "bacterial LSU rRNA". It matches the Rfam family "Bacterial large subunit ribosomal RNA". The record is from RNAcentral. Lineage: Bacteria; Pseudomonadati; Pseudomonadota; Gammaproteobacteria; Enterobacterales; Enterobacteriaceae.
GGGUUGUGAGGUUAAGCGACUAAGCGUACACGGUGGAUGCCCUGGCAGUCAGAGGCGAUGAAGGACGUGCUAAUCUGCGAUAAGCGUCGGUAAGGUGAUAUGAACCGUUAUAACCGGCGAUUUCCGAAUGGGGAAACCCAGUGUGAUUCGACACACUAUCAUUAACUGAAUCCAUAGGUUAAUGAGGCGAACCGGGGGAACUGAAACAUCUAAGUACCCCGAGGAAAAGAAAUCAACCGAGAUUCCCCCAGUAGCGGCGAGCGAACGGGGAGCAGCCCAGAGCCUGAAUCAGUGUGUGUGUUAGUGGAAGCGUCUGGAAAGGCGCGCGAUACAGGGUGACAGCCCCGUACACAAAAUGCACAUGCUGUGAGCUCGAUGAGUAGGGCGGGACACGUGGUAUCCUGUCUGAAUAUGGGGGACCAUCCUCCAAGGCUAAAUACUCCUGACUGACCGAUAGUGAACCAGUACCGUGAGGGAAAGGCGAAAAGAACCCCGGCGAGGGGAGUGAAAAAGAACCUGAAACCGUGUACGUACAAGCAGUGGGAGCACGCUUAGGCGUGUGACUGCGUACCUUUUGUAUAAUGGGUCAGCGACUUAUAUUCUGUAGCAAGGUUAACCGAAUAGGGGAGCCGAAGGGAAACCGAGUCUUAACUGGGCGUUAAGUUGCAGGGUAUAGACCCGAAACCCGGUGAUCUAGCCAUGGGCAGGUUGAAGGUUGGGUAACACUAACUGGAGGACCGAACCGACUAAUGUUGAAAAAUUAGCGGAUGACUUGUGGCUGGGGGUGAAAGGCCAAUCAAACCGGGAGAUAGCUGGUUCUCCCCGAAAGCUAUUUAGGUAGCGCCUCGUGAAUUCAUCUCCGGGGUAGAGCACUGUUUCGGCAAGGGGGUCAUCCCGACUUACCAACCCGAUGCAAACUGCGAAUACCGGAGAAUGUUAUCACGGGAGACACACGGCGGGUGCUAACGUCCGUCGUGAAGAGGGAAACAACCCAGACCGCCAGCUAAGGUCCCAAAGUCAUGGUUAAGUGGGAAACGAUGUGGGAAGGCCCAGACAGCCAGGAUGUUGGCUUAGAAGCAGCCAUCAUUUAAAGAAAGCGUAAUAGCUCACUGGUCGAGUCGGCCUGCGCGGAAGAUGUAACGGGGCUAAACCAUGCACCGAAGCUGCGGCAGCGACGCUGAUGCGUUGUUGGGUAGGGGAGCGUUCUGUAAGCCUGCGAAGGUGUGCUGUGAGGCAUGCUGGAGGUAUCAGAAGUGCGAAUGCUGACAUAAGUAACGAUAAAGCGGGUGAAAAGCCCGCUCGCCGGAAGACCAAGGGUUCCUGUCCAACGUUAAUCGGGGCAGGGUGAGUCGACCCCUAAGGCGAGGCCGAAAGGCGUAGUCGAUGGGAAACAGGUUAAUAUUCCUGUACUUGGUGUUACUGCGAAGGGGGACGGAGAAGGCUAUGUUGGCCGGGCGACGGUUGUCCCGGUUUAAGCGUGUAGGCUGGUUUUCCAGGCAAAUCCGGAAAAUCAAGGCUGAGGCGUGAUGACGAGGCACUACGGUGCUGAAGCAACAAAUGCCCUGCUUCCAGGAAAAGCCUCUAAGCAUCAGGUAACAUCAAAUCGUACCCCAAACCGACACAGGUGGUCAGGUAGAGAAUACCAAGGCGCUUGAGAGAACUCGGGUGAAGGAACUAGGCAAAAUGGUGCCGUAACUUCGGGAGAAGGCACGCUGAUAUGUAGGUGAAGUCCCUCGCGGAUGGAGCUGAAAUCAGUCGAAGAUACCAGCUGGCUGCAACUGUUUAUUAAAAACACAGCACUGUGCAAACACGAAAGUGGACGUAUACGGUGUGACGCCUGCCCGGUGCCGGAAGGUUAAUUGAUGGGGUUAGCGCAAGCGAAGCUCUUGAUCGAAGCCCCGGUAAACGGCGGCCGUAACUAUAACGGUCCUAAGGUAGCGAAAUUCCUUGUCGGGUAAGUUCCGACCUGCACGAAUGGCGUAAUGAUGGCCAGGCUGUCUCCACCCGAGACUCAGUGAAAUUGAACUCGCUGUGAAGAUGCAGUGUACCCGCGGCAAGACGGAAAGACCCCGUGAACCUUUACUAUAGCUUGACACUGAACAUUGAGCCUUGAUGUGUAGGAUAGGUGGGAGGCUUUGAAGUGUGGACGCCAGUCUGCAUGGAGCCGACCUUGAAAUACCACCCUUUAAUGUUUGAUGUUCUAACGUUGACCCGUAAUCCGGGUUGCGGACAGUGUCUGGUGGGUAGUUUGACUGGGGCGGUCUCCUCCUAAAGAGUAACGGAGGAGCACGAAGGUUGGCUAAUCCUGGUCGGACAUCAGGAGGUUAGUGCAAUGGCAUAAGCCAGCUUGACUGCGAGCGUGACGGCGCGAGCAGGUGCGAAAGCAGGUCAUAGUGAUCCGGUGGUUCUGAAUGGAAGGGCCAUCGCUCAACGGAUAAAAGGUACUCCGGGGAUAACAGGCUGAUACCGCCCAAGAGUUCAUAUCGACGGCGGUGUUUGGCACCUCGAUGUCGGCUCAUCACAUCCUGGGGCUGAAGUAGGUCCAAGGGUAUGGCUGUUCGCCAUUUAAAGUGGUACGCGAGCUGGGUUUAGAACGUCGUGAGACAGUUCGGUCCCUAUCUGCCGUGGGCGCUGGAGAACUGAGGGGGCUGCUCCUAGUACGAGAGGACCGGAGUGGACGCAUCACUGGUGUUCGGGUUGUCAUGCCAAUGGCACUGCCCGGUAGCUAAAUGCGGAAGAGAUAAGUGCUGAAAGCAUCUAAGCACGAAACUUGCCCCGAGAUGAGUUCUCCCUGACUCCUUGAGAGUCCUGAAGGAACGUUGAAGACGACGACGUUGAUAGGCCGGGUGUGUAAGCGCAGCGAUGCGUUGAGCUAACCGGUACUAAUGAACCGUGAGGCUUAACCUUACAACGCCGAAGCUGUU